AAAAUUUUAGGGAUUCAGACAGUGUUUUGCGAUCGACUUUGGUAGCUGAUCCGCGCCGAAAAGGAACAACUCUACUGAAAAGAAAAACGAGUUCGAAAUCAAGACGAAAUUUAGGCCGAUUGAGAAAUUUAUAAAAUAAGACAAGAUCAUAUCCCGGUAAUUGCAAUGUUAAUUCUGCAUCGAAAAGAUAUGCAAAAAUUAUGUGUUUUUAUUAUUAUGAAUUAAUUUAUUAAGUUAUAACAUAAAUAAUACUAUUGGUUUAGAAUAAUUUUAUUACUGUAAUCGUUUAUCAUAAAGACUGAAAAAAUAUGAUAGAAUUUUUUUUUUUUUUUUUUUUUUUUUUUUUUUUUU
RNAcentral lists this long non-coding RNA (351 nucleotides) under Ananas comosus (pineapple). RNAcentral describes it as "long non-coding RNA (ACOM_LNC027303)". The record is from RNAcentral. Lineage: Eukaryota; Viridiplantae; Streptophyta; Magnoliopsida; Poales; Bromeliaceae.